AAAGCACUAGCUUAAGUUAAAGUUUCGAAUUUUUGAUUCGGAGAUGUUAUUCGUGUUUUA
RNAcentral lists this transfer RNA (60 nucleotides) under Camallanus cotti. RNAcentral describes it as "tRNA-Lys". Lineage: Eukaryota; Metazoa; Nematoda; Chromadorea; Rhabditida; Camallanidae. The record is from RNAcentral.